This 1397-nucleotide long non-coding RNA is filed under the name Chrysolophus pictus (golden pheasant). Its description in RNAcentral is "lncRNA (ENSCPIG00010003280.1)". Lineage: Eukaryota; Metazoa; Chordata; Aves; Galliformes; Phasianidae. The record is from RNAcentral.
GGGGUCAGGGUUAGGGGCUGGGGACAGAAAGGAUGGGGACAGGCUGGGGACAGACAGGAUGGGAAUAGAGCAUGGCAAGAGUGGGGUCAGGAUUAGGGACAGGGGACAGGAAGGAUGGGGACAGGGGAGGGCAGGAUGGGGAUAGAGCGUGGCCAGAGUGGGGUCAGGGUUAGGGGCUGGGGACAGAAAGGAUGGGGACAGGCUGGGGACAGACAGGAUGGGAAUAGAGCAUGGCAAGAGUGGGGUCAGGAUUAGGGACAGGGGACAGGAAGGAUGGGGACAGGGGAGGGCAGGAUGGGGAUAGAGCGUGGCCAGAGUGGGGUCAGGCUUAGGGGCUGGGGACAGGAAGGAUGGGGACAGGGCUGGGGACAGGGGACAGGCAGGAUGGGGACAGGGGACAGGAAGGAUGGGGACAGGGGAGGGCAGGAUGGGGAUAGAGCGUGGCCAGAGUGGGGUCAGGAGGACUGGGAAUAGGGCUGGCAAUGGGACAUGGGCUGUAUAGGGUCAGGGCUGGGGGUGGAGGACAGCCAGAGUGGGGACAGGGCAUGGCCAGAGUGGGGUCAGGAGGACUGGGAAUAGGGUUGGUAAUGGGACAUGGGCUGUAUAGGGUCAGGGUAUGGCCACUGCAGGGACAGGGCUGGAGAUAGGGGACAGCCACUAUAGUGACAGGGAAUGGCCUGUAUGGGGACAGGGUUGGGGACACCCAGGAUGGGGUCAGGGCUGGUGAGGGGACAUGGGCUGCACAGGGGCAGGGAAUGGCCAGGAUGGGGACAGAAUUGGGGACAGGUGAUAUCAGUAUGGGGACAGGGUUGGGGACACCCAGGAUGGGGACAGAACUGGGGACAGGGGACAGGUGAUAUCAGUACGGGGACAGGUUUGGGGACACCCAGGAUGGGGACAGAAUUGGGGACAGGUGAUAUCAGUAUGGGGACAGGUUUGGGGACACCCAGGCUGGGGACAGGGCUGGUGAUGGGACAUGGGCUGCAUAAGGACAGGAUAAGGCCAGGAUGGGGACAGGGUUGGGGACACCCGGGAUGGGGACAGAAUUGGGGACAGGUGAUAUCAGUACGGGGACAGGUUUGGGGACACCAGGAUGGGGACAGAAUUGGGGACAGGGGACAGGUGAUAUCAGUAUGGGGACAGGGCUGGGGGCACCCAGGAUGGGGACAGGGCAUAUCCAGCAUGGAGACAGGACUGGGGACAGGGGAUGGCCAGGAUGGGGACAGGGCUGGGGACACCCAGGAUGGGGACAGAACUGGGGACAGGUGAUAUCAGUAUGGGGACAGGAUUGGGGACAGGGGACAGGUGAUAUCAGUAUGGGGACGGGGUUGGGGUCACCCAGGACGAGGACAGAAUUGGGGACAGGUGAUAUCAGUAUGGGGACAGGUUUGGGGACA